This 21-nucleotide microRNA is filed under the name Nematostella vectensis (starlet sea anemone). Its description in RNAcentral is "nve-miR-9420". The record is from miRBase by way of RNAcentral. Lineage: Eukaryota; Metazoa; Cnidaria; Anthozoa; Actiniaria; Edwardsiidae.
AUACAAAUCAGCCGACUGGGA